AUUGAACGCUGGCGGCAGGCCUAACACAUGCAAGUCGAACGGUAACAGGAAGAAGCUUGCUUCUUUGCUGACGAGUGGCGGACGGGUGAGUAAUGUCUGGGAAACUGCCUGAUGGAGGGGGAUAACUACUGGAAACGGUAGCUAAUACCGCAUAACGUCGCAAGACCAAAGAGGGGGACCUUCGGGCCUCUUGCCAUCGGAUGUGCCCAGAUGGGAUUAGCUAGUAGGUGGGGUAACGGCUCACCUAGGCGACGAUCCCUAGCUGGUCUGAGAGGAUGACCAGCCAGUCUGGAACUGAGACACGGUCCAGACUCCUACGGGAGGCAGCAGUGAGGAAUAUUGCACAAUGGGCGCAAGCCUGAUGCAGCCAUGCCGCGUGUAUGAAGAAGGCCUUCGGGUUGUAAAGUACUUUCAGCGGGGAGGAAGGGAGUAAAGUUAAUACCUUUGCUCAUUGACGUUACCCGCAGAAGAAGCACCGGCUAACUCCGUG
RNAcentral lists this ribosomal RNA (490 nucleotides) under uncultured bacterium. RNAcentral's name for it is "partial 16S ribosomal RNA". It matches the Rfam family "Bacterial small subunit ribosomal RNA", at positions 30 to 507 of the family's 1533-position model. The record is from RNAcentral.